GGGGAAUCUUCCGCAAUGGGCGAAAGCCUGACGGAGCAAGACCGCGUGAGGGAGGAAGGCUCUUGGGUUGUAAACCUCUUUUCUCAAGGAAGAAGAAAGUGACGGUACUUGAGGAAUCAGCAUCGGCUAACUCCGUGCCAGCAGCCGCGGUAAUACGGAGGAUGCAAGCGUUAUCCGGAAUGAUUGGGCGUAAAGCGUCCGCAGGUGGCAGUGCAAGUCUGCUGUUAAAGACUCCAGCUUAACUGGAGGAAGGCGGUGGAAACUGAACAGCUAGAGUGCGGUAGGGGCAGAGGGAAUUCCCGGUGUAGCGGUGAAAUGCGUAGAGAUCGGGAAGAACACCGGUGGCGAAAGCGCUCUGCUGGACCGUACUGACACU
RNAcentral lists this ribosomal RNA (376 nucleotides) under Phormidium sp. HM10. RNAcentral's name for it is "bacterial SSU rRNA". It matches the Rfam family "Bacterial small subunit ribosomal RNA", at positions 356 to 747 of the family's 1533-position model. Lineage: Bacteria; Bacillati; Cyanobacteriota; Cyanophyceae; Oscillatoriales; Oscillatoriaceae. The record is from RNAcentral.